UUUGAUCCUGGCUCAGGACGAACGCUGGCGGCGUGCCUAACACAUGCAAGUUGAGCGAAGUGCUUACAACUGAUCCUUUCGGGGUGACGAUGUAAGUAUCUUAGCAGCAAACGGGUGAGUAACGCGUAAGAAACCUGCCAUUCACAGGGGGAUAGCCUCGGGAAACCGGGAUUAAUACCCCAUGACACUGAACUAUUACAUGAUGGAUCAGUUAAAGCGUAAAGCGGUGAAUGAUGGUCUUGCGUCCCAUUAGCUAGUUGGUGAGAUAAAAGCUCACCAAGGUAACGAUGGGUAGCCGGCCUGAGAGGGUGAUCGGCCACACUGGAACUGAGAACGGUCCAGACUCCUACGGGAGGCAGCAGUGGGGAAUAUUGCACAAUGGAGGAAACUCUGAUGCAGCGACGCCGCGUGAAUGAUGAAGGCUUUCGAGUCGUAAAAUUCUGUCCUUGGGGAAGAUAAUGACGGUACCCAAGGAGGAAGCUCCGGCUAACUACGUGCCAGCAGCCGCGGUAAUACGUAGGGAGCGAGCGUUGUCCGGAUUUAUUGGGUUUAAAGGGUGCGUAGGCGGCCAUUUAAGUCAGCGGUGAAAUUUUGCAGCUUAACUGUAACAGUGCCGUUAAUACUGUUUGGCUAGGAUUUGGUUGUAGUGUGCGGAAUGUGUGGUGUAGCGGUGAAAUGCUUAGAUAUCACACAGAACACCGAUUGCGAAGGCAGCACACUAAGUCAUUAUUGACGCUGAGGCACGAAAGUGUGGGGAUCAAACAGGAUUAGAUACCCUGGUAGUCCACACUGUAAACGAUAAAAGUCGCUGUCGGCGAUACACAGUCGGUGGCCAAGCGAAAGCAUUAAUUUAUCCCACCUGGGGAGUACGACCGCAAGGUUGAAACUCAAAGGAAUUGACGGGGGCCCGCACAAGCGGAGGAACAUGUGGUUUAAUUCGAUGAUACGCGAGGAACCUUACCCGGGCUCGAACGGUGCAUGAAUAUACGAGAGAUUGUAUAGUCCUUCGGGACAUGUAUCGAGGUGCUGCAUGGUUGUCGUCAGCUCGUGCCGUGAGGUGUCGGCUUAAGUGCCAUAACGAGCGCAACCCUUGUCAUUAGUUGCCAUCAGGUCAAGCUGGGGACUUUAAUGAGACUGCCACCGUAAGGUGUGAGGAAGGGGGGGAUGACGUCAAAUCAGCACGGCCCUUAUGUCCGGGGCGACACACGUGUUACAAUGGGAGGUACAGAGGGCAGCUAUCCGGUGACGGAAUGCUAAUCUCCAAAACCUUUCUCAGUUCGGAUUGGAGUCUGCAACUCGACUCCAUGAAGGUGGAUUCGCUAGUAAUCGCGCAUCAGCCAUGGCGCGGUGAAUACGUUCCCGGGCCUUG
Molecule: ribosomal RNA, 1369 nt
Filed under: uncultured bacterium
Lineage: Bacteria
Description: bacterial SSU rRNA
Rfam family: Bacterial small subunit ribosomal RNA
Source: RNAcentral